Molecule: ribosomal RNA, 500 nt
Filed under: uncultured bacterium
Lineage: Bacteria
Description: partial 16S ribosomal RNA
Rfam family: Bacterial small subunit ribosomal RNA
Source: RNAcentral
AUUGAACGCUGGCGGAAUGCUUUACACAUGCAAGUCGAACGGCAGCACGGACUUCGGUCUGGUGGCGAGUGGCGAACGGGUGAGUAAUGUAUCGGAACGUGCCCAGUCGUGGGGGAUAACGUAGUGAAAAUUACGCUAAUACCGCAUACGAUCUAUGGAUGAAGGCGGGGGAUCGCAAGACCUCGCGCGAUUGGAGCGGCCGAUAUCAGAUUAGGUAGUUGGUGGGGUAAAGGCCCACCAAGCCAACGAGCAGUAGCUGGUCUGAGAGGACGACCAGCCACACGGGAACUGAGACACGGUCCAGACUCCUACGGGAGGCAGCAGUGGGGAAUUUUGGACAAUGGGCGAAAGCCUGAUCCAGCCAUUCCGCGUGCAGGAUGAAGGCCCUCGGGUUGUAAACUGCUUUUGUACAGAACGAAAAGGUUUCUACUAAUACUAGGAGCUCAUGACGGUACUGUAAGAAUAAGCACCGGCUAACUACGUGCCAGCAGCCGCCGUAA